RNAcentral lists this ribosomal RNA (253 nucleotides) under uncultured bacterium. RNAcentral's name for it is "partial 16S ribosomal RNA". It matches the Rfam family "Bacterial small subunit ribosomal RNA", at positions 524 to 776 of the family's 1533-position model. The record is from RNAcentral.
UACGUAGGGUGCAAGCGUUAAUCGGAAUUACUGGGCGUAAAGCGUGCGCAGGCGGUUAUGCAAGACAGAUGUGAAAUCCCCGGGCUUAACCUGGGAACUGCAUUUGUGACUGCGUGACUAGAGUAUGGUAGAGGGGGAUGGAAUUCCGCAUGUAGCAGUGAAAUGCGUAGAUAUGUGGAGGAACACCGAUGGCGAAGGCAAUCCCCUGGACCUGUACUGACGCUCAUGCACGAAAGCGUGGGGAGCAAACAGG